CUCAUGCAAGAGAAAGUCGAGCUUGCUUAGGCGCUCAAUCAUCUCGAUCAUGUACAAUACAUGAUCAGUGACUGAUGUUUCUUCUCUCAUUCGAGCAUUAAAGAUGGCACAACUAAUCUUGUAUCUCUCAACAUCAUCGAGUGUGCCAAAGGACUUGUUCAACACUUGCAACAUGUCCUAUGGUAGAGCAUUCUCGAAACGACGACUGAACUCAUCAUUCAUUACCGCCAGCAU
Molecule: long non-coding RNA, 234 nt
Filed under: Elaeis guineensis (African oil palm)
Lineage: Eukaryota; Viridiplantae; Streptophyta; Magnoliopsida; Arecales; Arecaceae
Description: long non-coding RNA (EGUI_LNC040592)
Source: RNAcentral